RNAcentral lists this long non-coding RNA (4830 nucleotides) under Nicotiana tabacum (common tobacco). RNAcentral describes it as "long non-coding RNA (NTAB_LNC004360)". Lineage: Eukaryota; Viridiplantae; Streptophyta; Magnoliopsida; Solanales; Solanaceae. The record is from RNAcentral.
UCAUCUUCUUCAACCUGGGAAAACAUUGAAGAUCUAAAAACAUCUAAACUUCACUCAAAACACACAGCCGCCGACCAACUCCACCAUUCUUGCCGCCAGUGAACUCCUCCAAACGACCACCCCUUCAGCCAUCUCCUCACCUGUCGCAGCUUCACUCACACUACACUCACCCGUCUCUCUCACGCCAGAAAACAUACAUAAAACAGCUGCACCCGACCUCAACACCCAAGGACUGCCCUCUCUCUGAAUAAGAUUUUAUAGAUAAAAAAAGAAAAAGAAAAACCUAGGGCCUAAUCUAGACGAAGAGCAGCGACAAUUCCUUCAGCUUAACCUCUAAGUCAUAGCCGUUUCCACCUUCUUCUCCUUUACAAAAAGAAGCAACCAUCCUCACCAACAACACCACCAAGGUUCCGACUCACCCCAGCUCCAAAACACAAAGCCAGCAACACCAAAAACACACAGAGGACGAAACUCGAUCUGGUCGGUCCUGAGUUUGAGUUGAAAAGGUCUGUCAAAGAGAUUCGCGGUCCGAGCUGCUACUACUGUUGCACUUUUGGGUCAGAUUUGGUUUUUCGGGAUUUGCUGUGACUAAAGUCACGUUUAAUACGAAGAAAUCUUUGAUGAGGUUCAAUUUUCUCUUAUCUCAUAUGUGCUUUGAUCUUUUCAUUAUUUUGUUUAUGGUUUUGGAAAGUUUCAUGUCCUGUUUUGUGUUUUAAUUUGCUUCCUUGAUUCACUGUAGUCUUUUGCAUUACUGUUAAUUUCGUAUUGGACUAGUUUGAAUUAAUUGGGUUAAACUUGAAGUGCAUCAAGAAUAUUAAGGCAAAUAAGUCACAAUUUGAUAAAAUGAAAAAAAUUGAAUUUUGUCAAGGGGUUGGUUUAAUACAAGCAUGGACUUUGUAAAGGCUUACUGGACCGACUGGGAGGGGAAUUAUAAAAUUUGAGCUUGGAUCAAUUUUCUUAGUUCUUUUUCUUGCUUUGUUGCUUUUAAUCGUUAGGAGCAUGUUUAGGCCGUUAAUAUUCGGGUAGGCAAACUCGAGGAUUUUGUUUGUUUAAUUUUGAGGUAAGAGGUCAUUUCCUUAAUUAAAUUUAUCUGGGUAAUGCCCCAAAGGAUUUGUAUAUAUUUUUAUCUGGGGUAUGACCCGUAGUAUCAUGUAUUUGGAGGUCAUGACGAACCUUGGGGAAAAGUAUAGUAUAUAUUAGUGUUUUGGACUUUAUUUUAAUUUUCUUUUCUAUUUUCUUUUAUUAGGUGGGGACGACCUCGAGCCUCUUGUGUGUUUAUUUCGUUUUGUGUAUUUUUGCCUCAAUUAGAAUAUCCUAUAAAACCGACUAGAUCAAGUAUGCAACCGUACUAGUUACGGGACUUGGGGAGUGCCUAACACCUUCUCCCCGAGUCAAAUGAACCCCUUACCCAAAUCUCUGGUGCAGACUUAGUUUUGGAGUCUAAAGUGUUUCAAAAGCAAAAUCAUUUUAAAAAAAACGGUGACCUGACACACCGAAAUCAAAUUUCAAGUGGCGACUCUGAGUUAUUUCCUUUUGAACACAAUUUUUGUCACGUUCUAAUUGGAAAACCUAUUUCAAGCUUUACAAAUCUUUUUAUUAAUUUAAGAGGGUUAGUGAAGUUUUGGUUAAAAAUGGAGUGUGACAAUAGUGGCCUGGUGAAAAACUUGGCGAGUAUGGGUCUUGUUAGCACAACUAUUGUGAAGCCACUUCUUGAGACAUUGUACCGGUGUGGGAUGCAAAAGUUAGUAGAUGAUAGUGCCACUUCAUUCCAUGGAAAGCAAAAGGAAUGAAGCGUCAUACCAGGUUGAAGUUAAGAGAGAUGAGCAGCAGUGUAAAGCCCACAUAUCUUCUGAUACGGGAAGAAUUUGGUUCCCUUCUCUCAUUGUUCCGAGCCAACAACAACAACAACAACAACAACAACAACAACAAUAACAACAACUCAUUAUAAUCUCACUUAAUGGGAAAAAGCUUUGAAAAAGAGCCAUGACAUAACUAAUAAAGUUGCUUCCAUAUGACCUUGUGGUCACUGGUUUGAACCAUGAAAAUAGGUGAUUAGAAGAGGAUAUAGAGAAGGGAAAGUGCUAAAAGUUGUUGAAGAAAGAAUGAGUGUAGUUUUUGUUUAAGUAACCCCUUAUUUAUAGAAAAACAAUGACGAAACUAACGGGCAUUCAAUGCUUUUGGGAAAAUGGACCAGCGGUACAUUCAGUGCUUCUGGGGAAUGAACCGACGGGACGUUUCGAUCACUUCGAAUGCCUACGCCACGAGCAUGACAUCAUCAUGAGAGGUUCGAGAAAAUCAAGGUCAAACGUUUCAUAUCAUUCUAUUCUAAGAAAUGCGGGGACUAUCUGUAUAUGGUCAAAAUCGAGGAGUAUGAUUUUGAAGGUUUAAAUCGGGCCAUAGGCCCAAGUCCGAGACUCGAAAUGGGUGUCGUAUCCGACUAAGAGACAUCUACCUCAGGAAAGCUGAUCGAGUGCCUGGCACGGACUGCAUCAAGGGGUAGCAUUAUCUCGAAAUCAAUCAAGAAAGAGCGGGAAUUUCUCAAGGACACGUGGAUCUGGACAUUAAUUAUAGGAUAAGGGUUGUACGAAGUGGUACAGGUUCGUACUAGGCCGUUAUACACCUGUACCAAUAGAAUUCUUUACCUUUGUGAGCAAGGUACUACUUAGGGGUUUUCUCCUCCUAUAUAAAGGAGACCCCAAUCAUUUUGGUAAGGCAUCAGACCAUUCACUACAAUAGAACAUUUUUAUUCUUCUCUUGUUUAGCGUGCUCUCCAAUUAUUCUUCAGCUUUAUUGUCUUUACUUUAUUGUUCAUACUUUAUUACUCUUAGUUGACCUCGAGGUCCCUGAAUUGUCGAGCUCGAGGCCCACUAUUGUUCCAACAACACUGAUUUGGUUCAUUAUUUCUUCUUACUUAAGCUCAAUAUUACUUGUAUAAUCGCUAGUAUUAGAAUAUAUCACGUAUCUUUAAAACCACAAAAUAUCUUUAAUUGUUACUCACAUCUUUCGAGGUAAACAGAAAUAUAAGUCUUAUGUUUUAUUUUUUUUGUUUUUUUGUGCUACGAUUACAUAAGGGCGAAUUAUAUCAUUCGUCUCUCGUAUAAUGUAUUGCAAAUCGGUGAUAAGAAAGAGAAUCCUACGAAAGGUGAAAAGAAGCAUAUUUUCAUUUUUCUCUAGGUUGUUGACGCAAGCUGCUGAUAGUCACCUUUUAUGACAUCAAUUAAUGAGAAUCUUUUGUUGUGGUAUGAUUGAAUGAUUAUAUAUAUAGCCAUCUAUGCAAAUAAUCAAACGGAUGAUAAUUUCACGAACUCAACAUUUUCAUCUUCUCCGUUAUGUUUUUGCCUAAUUGAGAAAUUAUUUUAUGAUAUUUUUUAGUGUUUGAGUGAUAUAUAGUCAAUAUUUUCUAGGUACUAAAGAUUUAUCACUUAUAAUAAUAUCUAUGUAAUUAGUUUUUAUAGAGAAGCCUUGAAAUAUUUGUAAAUGAAAUUGACUUCCAUCCAUACGUGCGAGAGAAAUCAUUUUUUGCAGGAAAAUAUUUUCCUUAAAACCAUAAUAUUUUUUAGAAUUCAAAGUAAACAAAAAUAUUGAAAUUUAUUUCCAAGAAAAAGAUUUUUGCUUGCCAUAUCAACGAUCUGAUUCUGGUAAUGGUUCUUAGCCUAUUCCAAAUAUUUAAGAAAAAACACAUGCAAUAUACUGAAACAUUUUGCCUAGAAGACACCUUUUGCUUUAUCAACGGUUUCAUAAACAGAAUCUUAUCUAUUCCAAAGAUAUGUCGUGAUUCUUUUAUAUUUGAUAUUUUAUCCACAAGUUCAACUUUAUGAAGAUCCUUUAGAACAUUUGAACACAGAAUAAAUUGUUAUCUUUUUACUUUUUGGGGGGGUGAGGGGUGGGGGGGGGGGAUAAUUAAAGUUGGAGGUUAACGAAGAUAAAAAGCUAGUGCAAUGUGGCGAUUUUUUAUGGAAAAAGGGUCAGAUUAGUCCUUUUACUUUCAAAAAUUAUUCAUAUACUAUGUGAACAGAUAUACCUCUACCGUUAGCAAAGUUUCAGUUUUUGCCCCUAACCCUAGUGGAAACACCUAAUCCACCAAAUCAAUCUUUUAUUUAUUUUCUAUAUUUAAUUUAUCAUAAAAUCAAAGAACUAAGUAAAUCUAUUAAAUUGGAGUCCAAUUUAAUGUUUAGUAGUUUAAAAUUUCUUCAACCACGGAAUUAGAAUAAAUGUAAAAAUGCUGAUUUGGAAUUUAAGCAAAGAAAAGACUCAAAUUUACAGAGUUUGCUUAUUUCUUUGAUAUUCUGAUAAAUAUAAAAAAUAAAUAAAAUAUUGAUUUGAUGGACCAGGGGUUUCCAUUUGAUAAAUUUGUUCUCAUAGAAUAACGGAUGUUAAAUAUAAAUAAUUUUUGAAAGUAAAGAAGUAAAUCUAACGCUUUUCAUCCACAGUUCUAAUAUUUAUAUGUAUAUACUUCCUUUUUUCUUUGACACUGCAGCAGCGGUUAAAGAUUAGAUGCUAUAUCGAUUGGUGUCUUUUCAGGAAUCUGAUUCUUCUAGCCCUGGAUAAGUUUCAUGUUACAGUCUUGUUGAGCAGAACUUUGCCAAAAUCCAGUAUAUAGGGAUAUUAAUUGGAUAAGCCAAUUUUUCUUAUAAAAUGUCUAUUAGUUGCGCUUGUCAAUGUUGGAGCUAAAAUAAGUCGGGGCGGAUCCAGUAGUAUAAAUAUGGGUUCAUUUGAACCGAUUACAUUUAGCCUAAAUUUGGAUUUAUCUAUGUAAAACUUUUUUUUUUGGUAAAUAUCUAUGUAAAACUUACUAGAAUUAUUUGUAAAUAUUAAAUUAUGAAUUCGGAA